CAUUAAGAAGCUAAAUAAGCAUCAACCUUUUAAGUUAAAGACUGGGGGUUUAAAUCUCCCCUUAAUGA
Molecule: transfer RNA, 68 nt
Filed under: Felis silvestris (wild cat)
Lineage: Eukaryota; Metazoa; Chordata; Mammalia; Carnivora; Felidae
Description: transfer RNA-Lys
Rfam family: tRNA
About the family: Transfer RNA (tRNA) molecules are approximately 80 nucleotides in length. Their secondary structure includes four short double-helical elements and three loops (D, anti-codon, and T loops).
Source: RNAcentral